ACGAGUGGAAGGGCAGAGUGCUGAUGUUCCUCACUGCAUGGUGGCGAACGUGAGUGUUCUUGUAUGAGCAGGAGUUUGCAGCUGAAUACCCCGAGUACUGUGCCAUAGAUGGCUGGCAGCACUAGAGUAAUAGCACUACUGGCAUACUACUCAGGUUAGCUUAAUUAAAUAAAAAAAAAGCUUUCAGUUGUACAUGAUGAAAUCAGUUGGAUGGGAAACCACAAAAGGAUAUACCUAUUAUUGUAGAAAUACUUCAAUACUUCUGAAAACAUGAACAGCAAGAACAUCGGCUCUACACAAAGAUUACUUUCUUACAGCUAUAAACACUAUAAAUUGGGAAGGGCCCAUUUCCUCCCAGCACAAUCCUCGCUAAGUAGAUGGCAAGCAACGGCAUGGCGCCUCUUAAAAACCGAUACAUAUUCAAACCCAAUGGCCUACCACCGCUACUACCCGGACCUUUACACGAAUUGAUGUAGAUUCUGUCAAGAAAGGGCAGACCUACACCAUAUGGUUUAGGCUUAUACUCAGAUACCCACGCAGAAUAAAAUACACAAGACCAGAAAGCAGUGGAAGACCGCGCAGCUCAGUUGUGCACCGGAAGACCAACUUAAGCGAAUCCAGCAGGCCGAAGAUGCCACCAUGGUCCAGGGGCUCGAGGCCAUCAUCUAGGUAGAGAGGCCUAGGUCUGAAAUCUGCUGUCCUAAAAUAGUUUAUUCCCCCUCCUCCUUAGAUCUAGGGCUGCACUUGUCUGCUUUCCACCAAUGCAGGCGUAUAAGUUCUAUUAUGCCCACCUAUCACUGUUUCUGGCAGGUUUCCAGAUAAAAAAAAUUUAUAUCAAGAAUUUUCCACAGAAUUUUCCACGUUACCUCUGUAUGGUUGGAUACACUGACCGGUCGACACCCCUGAGAAGGCUUCCUUGCAAGCUCGUGCAGCAAGACUUGCCUUUGAGCAGCAAAAGCGAAGAAAGGAGAUGAAAAGCCUGCGGCAUUCAAGGUGGCAUUUUCAAAAAGAGAAUGCUAAACUGAAAUCCGUUCUGAAAAAAGAAAACACACACAAUAUAUUUUAUUCGGAGAGCA
Molecule: long non-coding RNA, 1076 nt
Organism: Dermacentor andersoni
Lineage: Eukaryota; Metazoa; Arthropoda; Arachnida; Ixodida; Ixodidae
Source: RefSeq, a predicted model, not a curated record